RNAcentral lists this ribosomal RNA (819 nucleotides) under Microbacterium sp. RNAcentral's name for it is "bacterial SSU rRNA". It matches the Rfam family "Bacterial small subunit ribosomal RNA", at positions 112 to 945 of the family's 1533-position model. The record is from RNAcentral. Lineage: Bacteria; Bacillati; Actinomycetota; Actinomycetes; Micrococcales; Microbacteriaceae.
AACACGUGAGCAACCUGCCCCUGACUCUGGGAUAAGCGCUGGAAACGGCGUCUAAUACUGGAUACGAACCACGAAGGCAUCUUCAGUGGUUGGAAAGAAUUUCGGUUGGGGAUGGGCUCGCGGCCUAUCAGCUUGUUGGUGAGGUAAUGGCUCACCAAGGCGUCGACGGGUAGCCGGCCUGAGAGGGUGACCGGCCACACUGGGACUGAGACACGGCCCAGACUCCUACGGGAGGCAGCAGUGGGGAAUAUUGCACAAUGGGCGAAAGCCUGAUGCAGCAACGCCGCGUGAGGGAUGACGGCCUUCGGGUUGUAAACCUCUUUUAGCAGGGAAGAAGCGAAAGUAACGGUACCUGCAGAAAAAGCGCCGGCUAACUACGUGCCAGCAGCCGCGGUAAUACGUAGGGCGCAAGCGUUAUCCGGAAUUAUUGGGCGUAAAGAGCUCGUAGGCGGUUUGUCGCGUCUGCUGUGAAAUCCGGAGGCUCAACCUCCGGCCUGCAGUGGGUACGGGCAGACUAGAGUGCGGUAGGGGAGAUUGGAAUUCCUGGUGUAGCGGUGGAAUGCGCAGAUAUCAGGAGGAACACCGAUGGCGAAGGCAGAUCUCUGGGCCGUAACUGACGCUGAGGAGCGAAAGGGUGGGGAGCAAACAGGCUUAGAUACCCUGGUAGUCCACCCCGUAAACGUUGGGAACUAGUUGUGGGGUCCAUUCCACGGAUUCCGUGACGCAGCUAACGCAUUAAUUCCCCGCCUGUGGAGUACGGCCGCAAGGUAAAACUCAAAGGAAUUGACGGAGACCCGCACAAGCGGCGGAGCAUGCGGA